RNAcentral lists this ribosomal RNA (290 nucleotides) under uncultured Pseudomonas sp. Its description in RNAcentral is "partial 16S ribosomal RNA". It matches the Rfam family "Bacterial small subunit ribosomal RNA", at positions 1096 to 1382 of the family's 1533-position model. The record is from RNAcentral. Lineage: Bacteria; Pseudomonadati; Pseudomonadota; Gammaproteobacteria; Pseudomonadales; Pseudomonadaceae.
GCGCAACCCUUAGUCCUUAGUUUACCAGCACGUUAUGGUGGGCGACUCUAAGGAGACUGCCGGUGACAAACCGGAGGAAGGUGGGGAUGACGUCAAGUCAUCAUGGCCCUUACGGCCUGGGCUACACACGUGCUACAAUGGUCGGUACAAAGGGUUGCCAAGCCGCGAGGUGGAGCUAAUCCCAUAAAACCGAUCGUAGUCCGGACCGCAGUCUGCAACUCGACUGCGUGAAGUCGGAAUCGCUAGUAAUCGUGAAUCAGAAUGUCACGGUGAAUACGUUCCCGGGCCUU